RNAcentral lists this ribosomal RNA (445 nucleotides) under Globigerina bulloides. RNAcentral's name for it is "partial 18S ribosomal RNA". It matches the Rfam family "Eukaryotic small subunit ribosomal RNA", at positions 1195 to 1460 of the family's 1831-position model. Lineage: Eukaryota; Foraminifera; Rotaliida; Globigerinidae. The record is from RNAcentral.
UUGACUCAACGCGGAAAAGCUUAUCUGGUCCGGACGCAGUGAGGAUUGACAGACAGUUUCAGGAGUGGUUCUUGGUAAACAAUUGAGAGAGUUGAAGUUCUUUCAUGAUCUUGUGAGAGGUGGUGCAUGGCCGUUCUUAGUUCGUGUAGUGAUAUGUCUGCCUAAUCGCGUCACGAUAACCUAUUGGUCGACAACCCAAUUAUCACAACUGCAGCAUAACUCCCCUUGGGUGGGCGAGGCUCUGUGUAGGAUAGACCUCUGAACAGUACGCAACGAACGCGAUCGUAAUCCCUUGUUGAGUGGCCAUCCUGUAAGCUGCUGGAUUAGGAACCCAGUGGUAUUAUCUCAGCCACAGAUUUUCUGGUUGUAAUGGGCCAGUUUUGAAACUCGGGGAACAUCUGUGACUUUCUUUCUUAACGCAGAGGAAGGUUAUGGCAAUAACAGG